Molecule: non-coding RNA, 177 nt
Filed under: unclassified sequences
Description: malK-I RNA
Rfam family: malK-I RNA
Source: RNAcentral
UUCGCUGGCGUGCGUUCACUCCACAACAUGAACGGCGACCAUCAAAAAAGGAGGGUCUAAUCUCCGCGUUACUCGCGGUGCGGCAGUGUGGAGACCUGCCGUAAUGCGUGUCAUCCUGCGCGGAUGCGCGCGAGGUGUUCCGGCGUGGGCCGGAGCAUCAGAGUAGAGCACAUGUCU